GACGCGCUACAGAACCGAGGAAGCCCCAGCAGCACCCGAAACGCGUUAUUGUAUUGAAUACGAAGGGAGUUGUCGGCCUUCUGCGUAUAUCUGACCCACAGGCUACAUGUGUAGAAUGUUUGGCAAUACGCCCUAAAUAGCGUAACUUUUACACUUCUUGUACACCUUGCAAACCUGCGAGCCAGCAUAUUACAUCGAACCGACAACGCCCUACGUUCCCUCUCAAUAUCCUCAUCAUCGUUCAGAUUGUCGGUCAGAAUGUGCCCAAGGUAUUUAAACCGAGAAACUCUCUUUAGCGCCACCCCAUAUAAAUAAACUGGAGGCACUGUCGUUGGUUUUUUUGUGCCUGUCCGAAACACCAUAAACUCACUUUUUCUAACAUUGUACAGUAGGCCAUGUGCCACCGCGUAUCCUUCACACAACCCAAGUAACUGUCUAAGAGCAUCAAUCGAGGGACUCAGCAGCACCAUGUCAUCAGCAUAGCUUAUACUAUUGAUAGUCAUGCCAUCAAUAGAACAUCCAAGACCAGUACUGGCAAGGUCCUCAACUAGCUGAUUUAUGUAUAAACUGAAGAGUGCCGGUGAUGUCGAACCUCCCUGCCUUACACCACACUCCAGUCCAUACUCACCAGAUAACGCCCCAGACCAUUUGACCUGAUUAACCUGGUUGUUGUACCAAUACUCCAGGAGAUUAACCAUCUCAUGAGCUACUGCUUUUUCCCGUAAUUUAGUCCAUAAGAUCCUGUAAUUAACCAGGUUGUUGAGUCGUCCCACUCGCUUCAACCGCGUCCACGACAAGUGGGGGCGACUGUGACGUCGUGGUGCAACGGCUCGCCGCGUAUGCGCGGAGUCUGAGGUCAAAUCUUGCUUAUGCGCACCGGCCGCGCCCACGCGUUCUUACUACUUUAAUUCUUAUUUGCUUAAUUGUACUAUAUUGUUAUAUUUAAAGUCAUUAUACGUAUUUAUAUGUUAUACAGUCCACUAGUAUUAUUUACUCCACCUGCUGAGCUAUCGUCGCAACAUAUGGUCCUUCUCCCAAGAAAAAUUGAACUGGACAAAGAAGACAAAGGACUUUGGAGGACAUCGUACACGUCACCGAGUGACUCAGAGAUUAUUAUCAAGUUUCUUCGCUGUGAACAUUGUUACGUCGUGAUAUAUCGGCACGGCUUGAGACUUUUCGGCCGUCUUAGCUGACGUCACCCAACUGACACGAGAAGAAACGGAAUUUGGGCUACUCAUCAUUCGUCAUCAUAACGGACAGCAAAUACACGUGUUCGGAUUGUCGUCGUGCAUUGAGAUAUCUGACAAGAAUACUCCUCGGCACAGUCAUCAUCAGUGGUUUGCACCGGAAAACAGUGAGCUCGUUCCAAUUCCUUAUUUAAUCAUCUCAUCAUCAUAAUCAUAUUCAUUAUCAUCCAUAUCCUGCAUUUCAUUCAUUUUUUACCUCAUAAUAAUUAAAGAACGGUGUUACAUUUUUUGCAAGUCAUCUCCACAUUAUUUCAUCAUAUUUCAUCCCAUUUUACCAUUUAUUUCAACUGUUUCAUCUCUUCAUUCAUUCAUUUCACUAUAAGUUAAUCAUAUCCAUUACAGUGUCGUUUUAUAUUUCAGCCAAAAUCGAAUAUUAUUAUCUUAUAACGUUAACAUUACACAGCGAUUAUCAGUGCACAAACGCCUUGCAUUUUUAAAUAGCAAUACGCAUUCUGCUACAAUCUUGCUCGUGCACUUUAUCUUGCAACUCGUUGCUAUCGUUUUAUUGGAAGUGUUAACUUGCUGUUAGUUUAUAUAUUUCCUUAGUGCUUUAUUACCAAAAUCUAUCGCCUUCUCUUAAAAUGUCUGACAUUAAAAGCCUUAUUAAGAAACGUGCUUCAAUUAAAGCAAAGCUUACGCAAUUUUCUUCAUACUUGAACAUUUCCAAGUCAUGUGAACAGUUGAGCGAAGUUCAGAUUGUUGAGGUUGAGUAUAGACUUAAUACUAUCGAAAAUCUAUAUGAUAAAUACGACGUGUUACAGGCCGACAUGGAAGAGAUGGUGGACGACCUUAGCGAGCAAUAUGCGGAGCGUGAGGAGUUCGAAAAGCAGUACUACAGCUUGGUGGCUGCAGCACGUCAGCUGAUCAGCAAUGCUCGCAAGCAAGCUUCAGGGAACUCCAUAGCCGAGCGCUGGUGAAUGUGUCGGAUGCUAAAGGCAACGUUCAUACUGCACGAACCCUGCUGGAUAACGGGAGUACGACUAACCUUAUGUCACAGGAGUUGGCUCGUAAACUUAACAUUUCCACCUAUACAGUCGAGUCUAAGGUAACAGGCAUUAAUGAUCAAUCCUCUUAUUGUACACAAGGUUGUUCGAUUUCAUUAAAGUCAGUCAAUAGUGAAUAUGACAUCGAUAUUGAUUGCUAUGUCGUGUCCAAAAUUUCAUCGUGUGUACCAAAUACAUAUAUUGAUGUGCACAAUAUAAAUAUACCUACCAAUAUAGUCCUGGCUGACCCUCAGUUUUACGUUCCAUCUUCUAUAGAUAUUCUUGUAGGUGCUGAAGUCUUUUGGAACGUUUAAGGUACUAGCCGUAUAGACUUAGGUAAAUCCAUGCCUACUUUAUUUGAGUCCAAAUUGGGAUGGCUGUUAUCAGGAGUCAUCAAGCAAUCAAAUUCUUCUUCUCAUUUAUGUUUGCUGGCUGAUACUUUGCAGGCAGACUUAAACCGUUUUUCUAAGCCAGACUCAGUUUCAGCAAAACAUCUCACGCGCGAAGAGCGUUCUUGUGAGGAAUUAUCUUUGAAGUCCACUUACCGUGAUGCGGAUGGACGCUUCGUAAUUAGCAUACCACUUAAGGAAUCUCCUGACAUAUUGGGUGAUUCCUAUAACAUGGCUAAGCGCCGCUUAGCAUUACCCUACACAUUAGGGCUGAACUGGAGGUGCUCAUCACAUACCUUUUCUUUCUCCAUGUCAAAUGCAACUUCCAGUAACAUUGCCACAAAACGUAAGAUUUUGUCUGUCAUUGCUCAGAUCUUUGAUUCUAUUGGCUUGGUCGUUCCUUGCAUAGUGGAAGCCAAGAUAAUCAUGCAGCAACUGUGACUGAUAAAGUGUUCCUGGGAUGAGCCAGUUCCCGAACAUAUUCAGCAUCCACGGGACAGCUUUCAAAAUAGCUUACCUUUUUUAAAUGAUUUUAGGAUGCGUCGGUGGAUCACGUGUGAAUCAUCAUCUUCUGUGCAGUUGCAGGUGUUUACCGACGCAUCUGAAAGGGCGUAUGGUGCUUGUUUGCAUGUCCGCAGCGUAUCGCUUAGUGGACGGAUCGUUAAGGUGCUUCCUGGUAGAGACGGCAUUGCACGAGUCGCCGACAUCCGCACACGUAAGGGUGUCAUUCGGCGAGCGUUCAACACUAUUUGCCCGUUAGCCGUCGCCACUGCUGUUGAAGACACUUCAACGGGGGGAGUAUGUUGAGUCGUCCCACUCGCUUCAACCGCGUCCACGACAAGUGGGGGCGACUGUGACGUCGUGGUGCAACGGCUCGCCGCGUAUGCGCGGAGUCUGAGGUCAAAUCUUGCUUAUGCGCACCGGCCGCGCCCACGCGUUCUUACUACUUUAAUUCUUAUUUGCUUAAUUGUACUAUAUUGUUAUAUUUAAAGUCAUUAUACGUAUUUAUAUGUUAUACA
This 3638-nucleotide unclassified non-coding RNA is filed under the name Helicoverpa zea (corn earworm). RNAcentral describes it as "uncharacterized LOC124635786, transcript variant X1". Lineage: Eukaryota; Metazoa; Arthropoda; Insecta; Lepidoptera; Noctuidae. The record is from RNAcentral.